CGCUUCGGGCGUAUUAGUUGUGGAGCAUAUAAAAACUCCAUGGUUAAUCAUGCUUAAGUGGGAGUAGUACCGGGAUGGGUGACCACCUGGGAAGUCUCUACCUGGGAAAU
Molecule: ribosomal RNA, 110 nt
Filed under: Helianthus annuus (common sunflower)
Lineage: Eukaryota; Viridiplantae; Streptophyta; Magnoliopsida; Asterales; Asteraceae
Source: RNAcentral